CCGUGCUAGAUGGGGCAGUAGCGGGGCCCUGAACCCGAAAUCCGCUAUAGCGGGGUCGAAUUCCCGCUUGAGGGUCGGGCCUCUAAGGCUUGGUCCAGGCAAGUGGUGUUGACGAUUGGGUCUUGCGCAAUA
RNAcentral lists this signal recognition particle RNA (132 nucleotides) under Bacillota bacterium. RNAcentral describes it as "Firmicutes bacterium (anaerobic digester metagenome) partial signal recognition particle sRNA large type". It matches the Rfam family "Bacterial large signal recognition particle RNA", at positions 1 to 130 of the family's 256-position model. From Rfam's summary of the family: The signal recognition particle (SRP) is a universally conserved ribonucleoprotein involved in the co-translational targeting of proteins to membranes. Lineage: Bacteria; Bacillati; Bacillota. The record is from RNAcentral.